This 406-nucleotide ribosomal RNA is filed under the name uncultured bacterium. RNAcentral's name for it is "partial 16S ribosomal RNA". It matches the Rfam family "Bacterial small subunit ribosomal RNA", at positions 30 to 526 of the family's 1533-position model. The record is from RNAcentral.
AUUGAACGCUGGCGGCAGGCCUAACACAUGCAAGUCGAACGAGUGGCGGACGGGUGAGUAAUGUCUGGGAAACUGCCUGAUGGCGGGGGAUAACUACUGGAAACGGUAGCUAAUACCGCAUACCAUCGGAUGUGCCCAGAUGGGAUUAGCUAGUAGGUGGGGUAAAGGCUCACCUAGGCGACGAGCCCUAGCUGGUCUGAGAGGAUGACCAGCCAAACUUGAACGUAGACACGGGCCCGAUGCCUACGGGAGGCAGCAGUGGGGAAUAUUGCACAGUGGUCCCAAUCCUGAUUCAGCCAUGCCGCGUGUAUGAAGAAGGCCUUCGGGUUGUAAAGUACUUUCAGCGGGGAGGCGUUACCCGCAGAAGAAGCACCGGCUAACUCCGUGCCAGCAGCCGCGGUAAUUC